This 360-nucleotide ribosomal RNA is filed under the name uncultured bacterium. RNAcentral describes it as "bacterial SSU rRNA". It matches the Rfam family "Bacterial small subunit ribosomal RNA", at positions 68 to 422 of the family's 1533-position model. The record is from RNAcentral.
UUCUUUCUUGCUUCGGUGAGAGAGGGAGUGGCGGACGGGUGAGUAACACAUGGGUGACCUGCCCUGAAGUGAGGGAUACCGGCGAGAAAUCGCCGACAAGCCCGCAUAGGUUCUCUUUCGUAGAGGGAGAGAGCAAAGGUCCUUUACGGAGGGCUGCUUUGGGAUGGGCCUGUGGCCGAUUAGCUAGUUGGUGGGGUAAGAGCCUACCAAGGCGACGAUCGGUAGCUGGUCUGAGAGGACGAUCAGCCACACUGGGAUUGAGAACGGCCCAGACUCCUACGGGGGGCAGCAGUGAGGAAUUUUCCGCAAUGGAGGAAACUCUGACGGAGCAACGCCGCGUGCAGGAGGACGCUUUUCGGA